This 120-nucleotide small nucleolar RNA is filed under the name Tupaia belangeri (northern tree shrew). RNAcentral describes it as "Small nucleolar RNA SNORA64/SNORA10 family (ENSTBEG00000019506.1)". It matches the Rfam family "Small nucleolar RNA SNORA64/SNORA10 family", at positions 15 to 133 of the family's 133-position model. Rfam says of the family: This family belongs to the H/ACA class of small nucleolar RNAs (snoRNAs) which act as guides in the the modification of uridines to pseudouridines. This family includes the human snoRNAs U64 and ACA10 and mouse MBI-29. The record is from RNAcentral. Lineage: Eukaryota; Metazoa; Chordata; Mammalia; Scandentia; Tupaiidae.
GCACAGUCACACUUGGUUUCACCCGUGUGGCUUUCGUAAAGGGGAUUAGAGAGCAAAGAUCCCCUCGGGACCCAGGAGUGGCCUCAUGUGGCUUCUCUUCCCUCGAGGGGUGCAACAGGC